AUUGAACGCUGGCGGCAUGCUUUACACAUGCAAGUCGAACGGCAGCGGGGAGGAGCUUGCUUCUCUGCCGGCGAGUGGCGAACGGGUGAGUAAUACAUCGGAACGUGUCGAGAAGAGGGGGAUAACCACCCGAAAGGGUGGCUAAUACCGCAUAAAUUCUGAGGAAGAAAGCUGGGGACCUAGGAGUAGGCCUAGCGCUUUUUGAGCGGCCGAUGUCGGAUUAGCUAGUUGGUGAGGUAAAGGCUCACCAAGGCGAAGAUCUGUAGCGGGUCUGAGAGGAUGAUCCGCCACACUGGGACUGAGACACGGCCCAGACUCCUACGGGAGGCAGCAGUGGGGAAUUUUGGACAAUGGGGGCAACCCUGAUCCAGCCAUGCCGCGUGUAUGAAGAAGGCCUUAGGGUUGUAAAGUACUUUUGUUAGGGAAGAAAAGUCAGCUGUGAAUAAUGGCUGAUACUGACGGUACCUAAAGAAUAAGCACCGGCUAACUACGUG
Molecule: ribosomal RNA, 494 nt
Filed under: uncultured bacterium
Lineage: Bacteria
Description: partial 16S ribosomal RNA
Rfam family: Bacterial small subunit ribosomal RNA
Source: RNAcentral